GGGUGUGUAGCUGUGGUAGAGUGGUUUACCUAGCAUGCAUAUGGUGCUGGGAUCAAGUCCCAGCAUUACCA
RNAcentral lists this transfer RNA (71 nucleotides) under Marmota monax (woodchuck). Its description in RNAcentral is "tRNA.Ala". Lineage: Eukaryota; Metazoa; Chordata; Mammalia; Rodentia; Sciuridae. The record is from RNAcentral.